This 66-nucleotide transfer RNA is filed under the name Alectorobius guaporensis. RNAcentral's name for it is "tRNA-Gln". Lineage: Eukaryota; Metazoa; Arthropoda; Arachnida; Ixodida; Argasidae. The record is from RNAcentral.
UAACUUUUGGUGUAGGGCACAUUAAAUUUUGAUUUUAAAGGAAAUGAAUCAAUUCAUUGAAGUUAA